GAGGCUGGGUGUUCGCGAACGCCCGCCCGAGCCGCUCCGCUAGGUGUUUGGGGCUUUGAUUCGUGCGCUUUAACUUGCUAUGCACCUUAAGGGUGGCAACCAGGCAGCUGACACACUGGAAAAGCCCUGGAAGGUGGAUCUCAGAUGGGAGACAGAGUUUCAGCAUAUAGCCAAGGUUCCUGCCUCAGUCUCCCAAAUGCUGAGGUCACAGGACAGGGUCUCAAGCAGUUGAACAGGGCCUUGAACAGACAAUCCUUCCACCUCCACCUCUCAAAUGCUCGACUGUAACCAUACCCAUCGCCACCGUCAAUCUUAGCACAGAG
Microtus ochrogaster (prairie vole) is the source of this 323-nucleotide long non-coding RNA. RefSeq lists it as uncharacterized. The record is from RefSeq and is a predicted model, not a curated record. NCBI's taxonomy places the organism in Eukaryota, Metazoa, Chordata, Mammalia, Rodentia, Cricetidae. The transcript is spliced from 3 exons.